RNAcentral lists this ribosomal RNA (622 nucleotides) under Dichotomius schiffleri. RNAcentral describes it as "partial large subunit ribosomal RNA". It matches the Rfam family "Eukaryotic large subunit ribosomal RNA", at positions 673 to 1243 of the family's 3401-position model. The record is from RNAcentral. Lineage: Eukaryota; Metazoa; Arthropoda; Insecta; Coleoptera; Scarabaeidae.
CGGGCCCCCCAGGUUCUGCAUGUGCGCGAGUCAUUGGGACUCCGUUAAACCUAAAGGCGCAAUGAAAGUAAAGGUCCGCCUCGCGCGGACCGAGGGAGGAUGGGCCCGUCCACGGGCGGGCCCCGCACUCCCGGGGCGUCUCGUUCUCAUCGCGAGAAGAGGCGCACCCAGAGCGUACACGCUGGGACCCGAAAGAUGGUGAACUAUGCCUGGUCAGGACGAAGUCAGGGGAAACCCUGAUGGAGGUCCGUAGCGAUUCUGACGUGCAAAUCGAUCGUCGGAACUGGGUAUAGGGGCGAAAGACUAAUCGAACCUUCUAGUAGCUGGUUCCCUCCGAAGUUUCCCUCAGGAUAGCUGGCGCUCGCCUUUGCGAGUCUCAUUCGGUAAAGCGAAUGAUUAGAGGCAUUGGGGUCGAAACGGCCUCAACCUAUUCUCAAACUUUAAAUGGGUGAGAUCUCCGGCUUGCUUGAAGCGUGAAGCCGCGAGAGAUCGGAUCACAGAGUGCCAAGUGGGCCACUUUUGGUAAGCAGAACUGGCGCUGUGGGAUGAACCAAACGCCGAGUUAAAGCGCCCAAAUCGACGCUUAUGGGAUACCAUGAAAGGCGUUGGUAACUUAAAGCCC